UACGAAGGGGGCUAGCGUUGCUCGGAAUUACUGGGCGUAAAGGGCGCGUAGGCGGAUAUCUAAGUUGGGGGUGAAAUCCCGGGGCUCAACCUCGGAAUUGCCUUCAAAACUGGGUAUCUUGAGUUCGGGAGAGGUGAGUGGAACUCCGAGUGUAGAGGUGAAAUUCGUAGAUAUUCGGAAAGAACACCAGUGGCGAAGGCGACUCACUGGCCCGAUACUGACGCUGAGGCGCGAAAGCGUGGGGAGCAAACAGGG
RNAcentral lists this ribosomal RNA (255 nucleotides) under uncultured bacterium. Its description in RNAcentral is "partial 16S ribosomal RNA". It matches the Rfam family "Bacterial small subunit ribosomal RNA", at positions 524 to 777 of the family's 1533-position model. The record is from RNAcentral.